Molecule: unclassified non-coding RNA, 240 nt
Filed under: soil metagenome
Description: partial contains 5.8S ribosomal RNA, internal transcribed spacer 2, and large subunit ribosomal RNA
Source: RNAcentral
AACGCACGAGACCUGCGGACCUGCGGAAGGAUCAUUACCGAGUUAGGGUAGUCACUCACUGCCCGACCUCCCAACCCUGUGUCUACCACACUUUGUCGUUGCUUCGGCGGACCGGUUGACCAACUGGUCGUGACCGCCGGGGGCUGGCUCUGUCCCCCCUGGAGAGCGUCCGUCGAUGGCCCAACCACAAAACUCUUGUACCGAAACGUGUCGUCUGAAUUAUAUUUGAGAAAUCAAAAA